CAAAAGCUAAUUUAUGUAAAUAUACUUCAUAAAAUACUUAAGUACCUUCAUAUUGUCAAGUGAAGAAUCAAACUACAUAGAACCACAGAAGCCACUUUCAACCUCUAACCUAGGUUCCAUCCAGGCUCUGAGCUGACAGUACAGAGAUCAACACCGGGCUCGAACUCAGCGGUGAUAUCUCGUGAGCCCAAGUCGGAAGCUUAAGCCGACUGAGCCACCCAGACACCCCGGCUAGAAGGUGAUCAUCAGAACAAACACUUUUGGACUCAGAAAGGGAAGCUGCCUUCUGAGAAUGGCAGGACAGCUUACUUCUGACCUGCUACCUGAAAGAAAAGCAAAACUCUGUUUAGCAUCUAAUGGAUUCUUAUGAAUUUGUUACCAGCACUUUAUAAACUAAAGCCUACCGUGUCUAAAAAAUAACUUAAGGUAAACUAUUGUAAAGGGCUGAGUACUAGAGCCACAGGGCAUCACAGUCACGACGUUCCCUUUCUGUACUUGAACGUACCCUCGGCUGAACUUCUUUCAACAUCGCGCUAGCGUCUUCAUCAUAAUCCAGUUUACAGGCAAGAGCAAGAUCAUGCGCUGCUUCUUCCCAAUGGCCCAGAAGUCUGAAACGAAUUAAAUUCAUU
Molecule: long non-coding RNA, 629 nt
Organism: Suricata suricatta (meerkat)
Lineage: Eukaryota; Metazoa; Chordata; Mammalia; Carnivora; Herpestidae
Exons: 4
Source: RefSeq, a predicted model, not a curated record